GUCUUGGUAGCUCAGAUUGCAGAGCACUGUACUUGUGAUGCAGUGGUCGUGGGUUCAAGACCCACACAAGACA
Molecule: non-coding RNA, 73 nt
Organism: Cydia pomonella (codling moth)
Lineage: Eukaryota; Metazoa; Arthropoda; Insecta; Lepidoptera; Tortricidae
Source: the annotation of a RefSeq genome assembly